Long non-coding RNA from Papio anubis (olive baboon), 2347 nucleotides. The record is from Ensembl. NCBI's taxonomy places the organism in Eukaryota, Metazoa, Chordata, Mammalia, Primates, Cercopithecidae.
AUGAAGAGAAGGGCCUUGCUGAGGUCAUUGCAUUUGCUGUGGCCUCCACUCUUGCUCCUCCAGAUGACCUCCACAUUGCUGGCUUCUUCUUGGGAUACACACAGACCCAAGGACUAUAAGAAGUAUAUUCAGGAAAAGGGAAUGGGAGUGAAGAUGAUGGUAGAGUGAAAAGACAAAAUAAUUAAAAUAGACUGUCUUGUCCAGAGUAAGUGUGAUAUGAGCCAUAAAGAAGACAGUAUAGUGAACACAUCUCUGCAUCUGAGAUCUCCCAUAACACUCCUCCUAUCAAAUUGAAAACAAAGAAAGAAGGAAAACAAUGGAAUAGAACUGGCUGAAAAACACAGAGCUGGUUCUACGGAAAGACUUAGGUAAACCCCUGGCUUUUGUGACCACAGAAGAAAGGGAAAGGGAAGAAAACUGGGUAACAUUAUCAUUUGGUGUAAAAAAUUGGUUUGGCUGCAGAUAUAGAAGAUACUUAGAAAUUAAAUACUACUUAGAUGAAAAAACAUUUUUUGAGGAGAAUUGUAAAUUACCAAAAUUGAUCCAAGGAAUGGCUUAAAAAGCCCCAAUGUGGUGGAAAAUCAAAGAGGAAUUUAAAAUGUUCUCCCAAAUCUAAUCCUCCAGAAGCCAGAUCCAGAGAUUUCAAAAAUAACCUAAUUUCAUCAAUAUCUUCAAUAAAUAGGUGAGUCCUUAAUCUGUUCUGCAAUGUGGAAAAUGACAAAAACCUUCUGUCCUACCCCUAAUAGUAAGCCCAGGGAAGAUUAGCAGUGUGAUAAAGAGGAAUUCCUGUUUAAGAAGCAGGUGACCUGUUUUCUUUUUUUUUUUUUUUUGAGACAGAGUCUCGCUCUGUCGCCCAGGCUGGAGUGCAGUGGCCGGAUCUCAGCUCACUGCAAGCUCCGCCUCCCGGGUUCACGCCAUUCUCCUGCCUCAGCCUCCCGAGUAGCUGGGACUACAGGCGCCUGCCACCUCGCCCGGCUAGUUUUUUUUUUUUUGUAUUUUUUAGUGGAGACGGGGUUUCACCAUGUUAGCCCAUGUUGGGAUGGUCUCGAUCUCCUGACCUCGUGAUCCGCCCGUCUCGGCCUCCCAAAGUGCUGGGAUUACAGGCUUGAGCCACCGCGCCCGGCUGGUGACCUGUUUUCUAAGCAUGCACAUUCCACUUGUAAACUGGAUGCUCUUGAGCAGUUAUCCUAAUAUCCCCCUGCCUUAUAUACUCGUCUGUCAAACAGGUGUUUAAUAAAUGCUGACAUUAGCUCUGCCCUUCAUCUCCCAGCUGUUCUCUGAUCUUCACUAUUGGGUUUGCUGUUGCCUCCCCUCCCCCUAUAAUUCAGAGCACAUAUAGACUGGGGCUAUAUGCAGUCAGAAUUGGCUCAGACACUGGAAUGGGAUGGAGCCUAUAUCCAUAGGCUAUAUCCAUAGUCUCCACAGGCUGGGAUGGAGCCUAUAUCCAUCCAUAGGCUCCAUCCCAGUCUGGUGUCUGAGCCAAUUCUGACUGCAUAUAGCCCCCGUCUACUCUUCCCCAUCUCUUCAAUCCAAGACAGACUUUAUCUUUGUGACUUUCAUAGAUUCUGGAUGAAGAGGAGGCAGGGCUGACCACUGAACACCAACACUAUUCCCUAGCAAUCAAAGCUCCCCACAUCCCACACUGUUCACCUCAUCCCCCAAAUAGCUUCAUUUUCAUGUCAAGGAUUCUGUCUUUCUUCUUGCCAAUCUGUCCAUUUUUAGUCCAGGGUUUCCUGACUUGGUGACUAUGGACACUAGAAGGUUGCAGGUAUCAGUAGCAAGGGAUUUCAGAAUGCUUUCUUAUACAAAUGUUAUCUGUAGAUUGAAUAUCUCAUACACAUAAGUGUUGCUAUUUUUCCAAAUGAACUUCUAUCAGUCUGAGUUCAAGCAAGAGACAGAAACCACAUGGUAAUGUAAAUCAAGAGAAGUUUAAUAUAAAAAAAUUAUUCAGCGGUGAUAGAAGAGUACCUAUAACAAUGUAAAGAGAACUUUCAAGGGUAUCUGAGGAUUGAGGGAGAGUACCCAAGGAAGGACAACUUGGAAAGAGGGUUCUCUGCCUAAGGCUGGGGUUCAGGCCUUGUUGGAGAAGGUGUAUUUGCAGUCCACCAGAUGUCAGAGAAGCCUCCUAUUUUCCAGGACCAGAGCUGUUCCAUAGCUGCUGGGCAAAUAGGAUGCAAUCUCUUGGAGCACAGGCACACUGAGGCUGUGGCUAAGUGCAUAGUCAGGCCACUGCUGGGGACAUGAGGCCUGGAGCACACAGUGCCUGUGUUGCAGGGCUGUGAAGUGGCCACAGGCUCAGGAUCAGGCCAAAUAGUCAGUGAGGGACUGUGCCUCUGGGCAGAUGGUA